Molecule: transfer RNA, 50 nt
Filed under: Orchis militaris
Lineage: Eukaryota; Viridiplantae; Streptophyta; Magnoliopsida; Asparagales; Orchidaceae
Also listed under: 34 other names
Description: partial tRNA-Leu
Source: RNAcentral
AAAAUCCGUCGAAUUUGAAAAUCGUGAGGGUUCAAGUCCCUCUAUCCCCA